CCCUACGGGGGGCAGCAGUGAGGAAUAUUGGUCAAUGGGCGCGAGCCUGAACCAGCCAAGUCGCGUGAGGGAAGACGGUCCUAUGGAUUGUAAACCUCUUUUGUCGGGGAGCAAAAGACGCCACGCGUGGCGUUCCGAGAGUACCCGAAGAAAAAGCAUCGGCUAACUCCGUGCCAGCAGCCGCGGUAAUACGGAGGAUGCGAGCGUUAUCCGGAUUUAUUGGGUUUAAAGGGUGCGCUGGCGGAAGAUCAAGUCAGCGGUAAAAUUGAGAGGCUCAACCUCUUCGACCCGUUGAAACUGGUUUU
This 305-nucleotide ribosomal RNA is filed under the name uncultured bacterium. RNAcentral's name for it is "bacterial SSU rRNA". It matches the Rfam family "Bacterial small subunit ribosomal RNA", at positions 337 to 640 of the family's 1533-position model. The record is from RNAcentral.